This 739-nucleotide ribosomal RNA is filed under the name uncultured bacterium. Its description in RNAcentral is "bacterial SSU rRNA". It matches the Rfam family "Bacterial small subunit ribosomal RNA", at positions 54 to 787 of the family's 1533-position model. The record is from RNAcentral.
AAUCGAAGUCGAACGAGAAAGUGGAGCAUCCAUGAGUAAAGUGGCGACCGGGUGAGUAACACGUGACUAACCUACCUUCGAGUGGGGGAUAACCUCGGGAAACCGGGGCUAAUACCGCAUACGUCCUGAGGGAGAAGGCGGGGGAUCUGCAAGGACCUCGCGCUCAUGGAGCGGCCGAUGUCGGAUUAGCUAGUUGGCGGGGUAAGAGCCCACCAAGGCUACGAUCCGUAGCUGGUUUGAGAGAACGACCAGCCACACUGGGACUGAGACACGGCCCAGACUCCUACGGGAGGCAGCAGUGGGGAAUUUUGGACAAUGGGGGCAACCCUGAUCCAGCCAUGCCGCGUGAGUGAAGAAGGCCUUCGGGUUGUAAAGCUCUUUCGGCCGGAACGAAAUCGCGUACGCGAAUAACGUGCGUGGAUGACGGUACUGGAAGAAGAAGCACCGGCUAACUACGUGCCAGCAGCCGCGGUAAUACGUAGGGUGCGAGCGUUAAUCGGAAUUACUGGGCGUAAAGCGUGCGCAGGCGGUUCUGCAAGUCAGAUGUGAAAUCCCCGGGCUUAACCUGGGAACUGCGUUUGAAACUACGGAGCUAGAGUGCGGCAGAGGGGGGUGGAAUUCCACGUGUAGCAGUGAAAUGCGUAGAUAUGUGGAGGAACACCGAUGGCGAAGGCAGCCCCUGGGGCCGACACUGACGCCUCAGGCACGAAAGCGUGGGGAGCAACAGGAUUAGAUACCU